GGGAGAGGGAGGAGGUGGGGAGAGAAAACCCAAUUCACCCCCUUCCUUUUUAAUUCUUUCUCCUGGUGUGUCUGCUCCACCGCCCGAGCUAAUCCCCCAAAUCCGGUCUCCUAAGCCGCAGCUGCUUUCCUUCGCAGUGAUGAAUGGCUCGGGGAGGGAAGCCCCCACUGCCGUCCACUUUGGUGGAGGACAUUGCCCAAAUCCGAGGCACUUAGGAGUUCCUGGUCUGCCAGCAUGAAGCCGUGGCUGUCUCCUCCCCUAGUGUCUAGCUUGCUCUGGGACCCUCUCUGUCUUGGUCCCUCCAACGUGUUCAAGCCGUCUCUGACCCACUGUCCCAGUUUGGCUGGAGGUGCUAGGGUUGCCCCCCCCCCCCCCCCCCCCCCCGGGAGGGUGCCUGGUAUAGAGAGGAGAAGCAGGGUUGAGGGACAGGGGAAGGGGUCAACAGGAAGGCUGGGAACCCCCUGGUGGUUGGGGAUGAUGAGCUGUAGGUUCACACCUCUGCUCGGCUCCGCCAAGCAGAGGCUCUUUCUCGCCUCCAUACCCCAGAUCAUCUCAGAUCUGAGCUGGGGACAAAGGCCAGAGAGGCGGAUGGGGAAUACAUCCAAGCCACCAGCUUGCAGUCAGAUGCAGCCAACUGUGAGUUAGCGGGGGGAUCUGUCCUGUGUCCACCUUCCUUUCCUUCCUAUGCUGAGUUGAUGGGGGCCAUCUUUCUAUCCCUUAGCCUCUCCUGGGCUAGAGGCAUGGAAGCUGAGGCCGGAGGGGAAGCUGCAGGAUGGGAGGGGAAGUUUCCAUCACGAACACAGUUAAGUAGGGGCUGCCUCCAGGCGCUGGUCCACUUGCUUCAUUGAAACUCUGCACUCUGCCCAUUUCAGACACUCAAAACCCUUUCUCCUCAAGUAGACAGAGCAGGAGGAAGUUCAUCAGGACCUACCUUUUCCAGGAAGCCCUCCUGUUGGUGCUGAGACACUCCGCAAAGUGUGAAGGGAUCAAGGCAGUGUGGGCCAAGCAGAGAGAGACGUGGAGGCACAGCCCCGACAGCUCCCCAGAUCUUCUCCGGUGAGCAUCCCCCCAGCCUGGCCCAGGGCAUGCCCCAGUUCACUUUUGCCUGCUUCUGUGGCCUCCACGGCUUCUGCAAGAUGAAGAGGAAGAAGGAGGAAGUUCACAGACAGCGGGAAACGGCCGUGUGAGCUGGACCGGGGCCCCUUCUGCAGCCUCCAGCAGGUUCCAGGCCUGAGGGCGCGCCCACAUCUGGAAGGACCCACCUGGCCUUCUGGAGACCGGGAGACCGAGAAGCCUCGGGGCAGCCCCAGGAGCGAAACUUCUUUCCUGCCCUCAGGGCUCCAAGCCCUCCACUCAGGGUGACUCUUCGGCUGAGGGAUGUGCCGCCUUGGUGGGCUAGGAGCGCUGCUCCUGGAUGGGAAACUGGACCUCCCAGCAGCCCCCACGCCGGGGGAGGCCUCAGGCAGGCCGGGCCGAGUGGCGGUGUAAGAGGAGCCCCCCUCCAAAGCCAGGAUGCAGUCUCUCCUGGGAGCCCGGGACUUGAGGCAGGAGCCUCUCCGGAGGAGCAUCCCUGAGAGAGGGGUCCUUUCCUGUCCCCUCCCAGCGUUCUCCUGGGCCAGGUGGAGCCAGGACCAAGGCGGGCAGCCAGGUUGGGAGUCAGAUGGCAGAGUCGGGACAGUGAGAGGCAGGCAACGUCCUCACGGCAGGAGGCCAGCUCGGUGUCCCCUGGGCGCCUCCCUCUCCCACACUCCAGAAGGCAGCUUUCUCUCCAGGCCUGGCCUCGCAGACCCUCUGACCCCUGUCACGCCUCCUUGCAGCACCACAGAUGUGGGGGCCUGUUUCCCAGGCCCCGACUCCCCUUCUUGGGAACUGUCAUCCAGGACCAGACUGUGGGGCCCCCUUCCUGGACUGUGCCGUGUCCUCCCUUUAUUCUCCUGUCUCCUCGCCUCGCCCACCUGCCUCUACUUUCUCUUCUCAGAAGCCAUAGAGAGGGAAGGGCUUGCAUGUUGUGCCUUUGGGGGAAACGGGGUAGAGGGACCCUCUAGGACCUGCCUUGCCUUUUCCCCCUAAUCUCUCCACUAACCUCAAUCUUCCAGGGUCAGUCUCAGCCCCCUCUCCCAGCCUAUUUCCAGCCGGUAAGAAGCAGACAAACCCCCCUUUCCUUCUUCCUUCCUUCCCUCCUCCCUCCUCCCAUGUGAUCUAACUUACCCUUCUGUCACGGUGCCCGAACCUCUCGGGUGCUAGAGGGUCACACGGGCAGCAAUGGUAGUGGCAGAGACACUUUGGGCAGAUUCUGUAGCUUUAGCAAGUCUGCCCUCUCCUUCAGCACAGAAAAGGUCGGCCCAGGAACAAAGUCAGAGGCCCGGUAGCCUCUGGGGACAGAAUAUUCUUUCUGACAGUUAACAGGUGGGCUGGGGAGAGGAGGUCAGGACCCCAGGACUGAAGGUGGGGCUGUGUGCCCUUUUCCUUGGAAUGUGCCUCUCUGGGCAGUCAGGGAGGGCAGAAGACCACCUGUGCUGGUUCAUCCGGAACCUGGGAGAAGCAAAGGCACAUUCUGUCCUCGCAGCUUUUCUUUGCCUGUCCAGCUCAUGCCCCAUGCUCAGGGGCCUUUCCUGAGCUUCCGGCAGAUUUGGUGGGAGACAGGUCAUCUUUGUGAAGCCACAGCACCGCUUACGAUCCCUCUCCUCCCAUCCUCCAACCACCUCCUUUGCCCCUAGCACCCAGCCCCAGACCUGUACAAUCUGUUAGUUCCUUUUAUAUCCAAAGAACUAUAAACAGAAGUCCUUCCCUCAAGGAAACAGCAAUAAAGGCCAGUGGGGUCACAAGGGACAGAGGAAAAGCUCCCCGGUUAUUUGGCCUCUUGGACGGUAGAGGCCUUGGAAGAGGCAGAGACGGGCAGAAAACGCUUUCAAGGGUACCUUGAUCAGGCGGCAGGGGAGCCCGCCUGGAGGGCAUGUGUGUCCCUAGCGGUGGCCUGUGAGGCUGCAGGCCUAGAGAAGCCACUCUUGCGGUGGAGGAUGAAAUUGUAUCCCUGGAACCUCAGAGGUGUUGGGUGUUAGGUCCUGACCACAUGGGCUCACCCGGAGGAAAGGUCAGGAGAGGUGGCGAAGGACGGUUUUGCCCCUGCGUACCUCUCGGGGCUCAGCAGCGAUGUCCGCUGCAGGGGUCUGGCAGUAAGCCCGUCCAGAGAGCUUCUUCCCCCCGGGGAGAACUCCUUUGACUCCAAAGGGAUACCGGAUAUCUGGAGCCCCUGCUACGGGAGCAUGGGAGAGGUCCCAAGGUCAGGGCAUCACUGGUCUGAGUGGAGGGCUAGCCGUGCCUGCAGACGGCAGCCCGUGGCCCCUCCUUCAUCCAGGGUGAAGGUGGGGGCAAAUGCCUUGCUGAGUAGGAGGCGGCAACAGCUUUGAGCUAGACCCACCCCUCGUCCCACCGUCCCUCGGUCUCCUUCUCAGGGAAAUGGUGACUUGGCUCCUCUCAGCGCCUGGAGCCGAUCUGGAGACCUGUGCCUGCCCGUCUGCCUCUGGGUGAGCCCAGGGGAGAGGUUUCAUCCAAAAAUGCAGAAGCAGCCCUCGUGUCCACAGACCGUGCGCCCCAGGCCUCUGGCUCACAGUCCGGGCUUCUCUUCCUUCUGUUUCUUUUGGGGCAUCGAGGUCUGGCCACCCCAUUUAUUGCCCUGCCCUGAGGCUCCUCCCCAGGGGACAGGUUGGACCAUUUUGCCCUCCCCGUUCCUAAUUCCCUCCACCCCACAGUUCUCUCCCAGACUCUACCUUGAGGAGGGGGACGGGAACUCCUGGGUGGAGGAAAGGGGCACAAAAGUCAAUGGUUCUGGAAGGAGGCGAGCCUCUCCUUCUUGCUGUGUGGCACUGAGUCCUUGCUGGAGGGCGGGAGGCCCUGGCCUCCCUGGGCCUCAGUUUUCCCCUCUUGUGCUGCGGGCUGUUGAAUGGGUGAUAAAGAAACGUGAGGGGUGCAUGAGGUUCUUGUGACUCGAAUGUUGUCUGGGGCCGGGCCCUAGGGACCCCGAGGGGCUUCUUGAAGUCUUUUAUUUUAUUUUAUUUUAUUUUUGUAGAAUAUCAUUUCCUUCUCCACUCCCAGGGAAGGGCUUUUUGGAUGUCGCAGGAGUCAACAGAAAUAUAUACAGAGAUUGUUAUUUUUGAAACAAAUAAAAAGAGCAAUAAUUUAACUGAAA
Herpailurus yagouaroundi (jaguarundi) is the source of this 4186-nucleotide long non-coding RNA. RefSeq lists it as uncharacterized. The transcript is spliced from 3 exons. The record is from RefSeq and is a predicted model, not a curated record. Lineage: Eukaryota; Metazoa; Chordata; Mammalia; Carnivora; Felidae.